This 88-nucleotide small nucleolar RNA is filed under the name Pteropus vampyrus (large flying fox). Its description in RNAcentral is "Small nucleolar RNA U3 (ENSPVAG00000030342.1)". The record is from RNAcentral. Lineage: Eukaryota; Metazoa; Chordata; Mammalia; Chiroptera; Pteropodidae.
AAGACUACUUUCAGGGAUCAUUUCUAUAGUUUGUUACUAGAGAAGCUUCUCUGAAGAGCACCCAAGGGAUUAGGAAGUACAAAUGGAC